UCAAGCAAAAAAGAGCGCAGGGUGGAUGCCUUGGCACUAAGAGCCGAAGAAAGACGUGAUAAGCUGCGAAAAGCUGCGGGGAGAUGCAAAUAAUCUUUGAUCCGCAGAUGUCUGAAUGGGGAAACCCGGCUGGAAGGACUCCAGUCAUCCAUACGCCAAUCCAUAACGUAUGGAAGGGAACCCGGUGAACUGAAACAUCUAAGUAGCCGGAGGAAGAGAAAGAAACAUCGAUUUCCAGAGUAGCGGCGAGCGAAAUGGAAAGAGGCCAAACCGUUGUGCGUGCACAGCGGGGUUCGGACCGCAUAAUUGAUUCAGUGAUUCUAGCAGAAAGGUUUUGGGAAAGCCUGCCGGAGAGGGUGAAAGCCCCGUAAGCGAAAGGAAAACUGACAAGGCGGUAUCCAGAGUACAUCGAGACACGUGAAACCUUGAUGGAACACGCGGGGACCACCCCGUAAGCCUAAAUACUACUUAGUGACCGAUAGCGCAUAGUACUGUGAAGGAAAGGUGAAAAGGACCCCGGGAGGGGAGUGAAAGAGAACCUGAAACCCUGUGUUUACAAUCUGUGGAAGGUCUUUAUAUGAUCAACCGCGUACUUUUUGUAGAACGGUCCGGCGAGUUACGCGUACUGGCAAGGUUAAGUGCUUAAGGCACGGAGCCGAAGCGACAGCGAGUCUUAACUGGGCGAUGAGUCAGUACGAGUAGACCCGAAACCGGGUGAUCUAUCCAUGUCCAGGAUGAAGAUGCCGUAAAAGGCAUUGGAGGUCCGAAGCCACAUCCGUUGAAAAGGGUGGGCAUGAGGUGUGGAUAGGGGAGAAAUUCCAAUCGAACCCGGAGAUAGCUGGUUCUCCUCGAAAUAGCUUUAGGGCUAGCCUCGUUUUAGUCUUAUGGAGGUAGAGCACUGAAUUUCCGCGGGGGCGUCAAAGCUUACCAAAGAAUAUCAAACUCCGAAUGCCAUGUAGAUGAUGAACGGGAGUCAGACUGCACGAGAUAAGUUGGGCGGUCAAAAGGGAAAGAGCCCAGACCACCGGCUAAGGUCCCAAAGUGUGUGUUAAGUGGAAAAGGAUGUGGGAAUUCGAAGACAACUAGGAUGUUGGCUCAGAAGCAGCCAUACAUUCAAAGAGUGCGUAACAGCUCACUAGUCGAGAGUUCCUGCGCCGAAAAUGUCCGGGGCUGAAACACAACACCGAAGCCGUGGACUCCGUAAGGAGUGGUAGAGGAGCAUUCUUAAAACCGACGAAGCUGUACCGGUAAGGAGCAGUGGAGGGAUAAGAAGAGAGAAUGCCGGAAUGAGUAGCGAGAGGAAGGUGGGAAUCCUUCCGGCCGAAUAUCUAAGGUUUCCAGAGUAAAGCUGAUCUGCUCUGGGUAAGUCGGGGCCUAAGGAGAGGUCGCAAGACGUAUCCGAUGGACAACAGGUUUAGAUUCCUGUACCGCAUAUAAACAGAACUGUGGGGACGCAUGUGGAAAGCAUAAGCCGGGAAUGGAAAGACCGGUACAAGCGGGGUAGGUGUGUGACAGGCAAAUCCGUCACAUAAGCCGAAGACGUGAUGUGGAGCGAAAUUAAGUAGUGAAGUAUGUGAGCCAUGUGCCGAGAAAAGCCGCUAUUGUUUUAUAUGUGCCCGUACCGUAAACCGACACAGGUGGAUGAGGAGAGAAUCCUAAGGCCGACGGAAGAAGCAUUGUUAAGGAAUUCGGCAAAAUGACCCCGUAACUUCGGGAGAAGGGGUGCCUGCGAGAGCAGGCCGCAGAGAAUAGGCUCAAGCAACUGUUUAGCAAAAACACAGGUCUAUGCGAAACCGAAAGGUGAAGUAUAUGGGCUGACGCCUGCCCGGUGCUGGAAGGUUAAGAGGAGAGGUUAGCGUAAGCGAAGCUUUGAAUUUAAGCCCCAGUAAACGGCGGCCGUAACUAUAACGGUCCUAAGGUAGCGAAAUUCCUUGUCGGGUAAGUUCCGACCCGCACGAAAGGCGUAAUGAUUUGAGCACUGUCUCGACAAUGCAUCCG
RNAcentral lists this ribosomal RNA (1998 nucleotides) under human gut metagenome. Its description in RNAcentral is "bacterial LSU rRNA". It matches the Rfam family "Bacterial large subunit ribosomal RNA", at positions 3 to 2035 of the family's 2925-position model. The record is from RNAcentral.